RNAcentral lists this ribosomal RNA (500 nucleotides) under uncultured bacterium. RNAcentral describes it as "partial 16S ribosomal RNA". It matches the Rfam family "Bacterial small subunit ribosomal RNA", at positions 32 to 507 of the family's 1533-position model. The record is from RNAcentral.
AAUCAACGCUGGCGGCGUGCCUAACACAUGCAAGUCGAACGCGAAAGCCCCGCAAGGGGUAAGUAGAGUGGCAAACGGGUGAGUAACACGUGGGUGACCUGCCUUCGAGUGGGGGAUAACGUCCCGAAAGGGACGCUAAUACCGCAUGACAUCCCGCUUUUGAAAAAGCGGAGAUCAAAGCUGGGGAUCGCAAGACCUAGCGCUUGAAGAGGGGCCCGCGCCUGAUUAGCUAGUUGGUGAGGUAACGGCUCACCAAGGCGACGAUCAGUAUCCGGCCUGAGAGGGCGGACGGACACACUGGGACUGAGACACGGCCCAGACUCCUACGGGAGGCAGCAGUGGGGAAUUGUUCGCAAUGGGCGCAAGCCUGACGACGCAACGCCGCGUGGAGGACGAAGAUCUUCGGGUCGUAAACUCCUGUCGAGCGGGACGAACGCUUCGCGGAUGAAUAAUCCGCGGAAUUGACGGUACCGCUAAAGGAAGCCCCGGCUAACUCCGUG